RNAcentral lists this long non-coding RNA (500 nucleotides) under Equus caballus (horse). Its description in RNAcentral is "lncRNA (ENSECAG00000042844.2)". Lineage: Eukaryota; Metazoa; Chordata; Mammalia; Perissodactyla; Equidae. The record is from RNAcentral.
AUUCACUGUUUGGCUAUUUUAUAGUGUUACUAUCAUAUUGUGACAUCUGUGUGUGAAUCAAGCUUCACACAAAAAUGAAAUUGAAAGCUGAAGAAGGAAGACUGCUAAAGUGUGAGCCAUUUGUGUUCACAAGCUUGCUGUGUCAGGAGGAGUUCUCCGGGAACUGGGUGGCUCAUGAGAGGUGGAACUGAAGAGAGUUUAAUGAAGGAACAAUUUAUAAAGGUGAGGGAAGGUUAAGGGGAGAAACAAGGGACAGUGACAAACCCAGAAACUCCACGCAGCAGGGAGCCUUUACCACCCCAGGCCUGAAGAAGCAUGUGGUUUUGCUGCUCCUGGAUCUGGAUAACACUGUAGCUGUAGGAGAGGAAGCAGGUGAUGGGGCGGGGGGGUGACCACAGUGGAGCAAUGUGGCCACUGUUAGGUUGCAUAAGGCAAAGAGGGAGCCAGGGUGAUUAAAAUCCCCAACCUUCCUUUUUCCCCACCUUUGAAUUUCCUUUCAG